RNAcentral lists this ribosomal RNA (253 nucleotides) under uncultured bacterium. Its description in RNAcentral is "partial 16S ribosomal RNA". It matches the Rfam family "Bacterial small subunit ribosomal RNA", at positions 524 to 776 of the family's 1533-position model. The record is from RNAcentral.
UACGGGGGGGGCAAGCGUUGUUCGGAAUUACUGGGCGUAAAGGGCGCGUAGGCGGCCUGCUAAGUCUGACGUGAAAUCCCUCGGCUCAACCGGGGAACUGCGUCCGAUACUGGUGGGCUCGAAUCCGGGAGAGGGAUGUGGAAUUCCAGGUGUAGCGGUGAAAUGCGUAGAUAUCUGGAGGAACACCGGUGGCGAAGGCGGCAUCCUGGACCGGUAUUGACGCUGAUGCGCGAAAGCCAGGGGAGCAAACGGG